CACCCCACGAGGGCGUCAGGGUGUUGCACAUUCUCUCUCUGUCUCUCUGUGCGUGUGUGUUGGAGGGGGGAGGGAGCCACGCAGCCCCUCCCCCUAACCCUAUCCCUCUGCCGAAUGCCGAGCCACGUCUGA
This 132-nucleotide small nucleolar RNA is filed under the name Leishmania donovani. Its description in RNAcentral is "C/D box snoRNA LD36Cs4C2". The record is from RNAcentral. Lineage: Eukaryota; Euglenozoa; Kinetoplastea; Trypanosomatida; Trypanosomatidae.